This 878-nucleotide ribosomal RNA is filed under the name Salmonella enterica. Its description in RNAcentral is "partial 23S ribosomal RNA". It matches the Rfam family "Bacterial large subunit ribosomal RNA", at positions 1280 to 2141 of the family's 2925-position model. The record is from RNAcentral. Lineage: Bacteria; Pseudomonadati; Pseudomonadota; Gammaproteobacteria; Enterobacterales; Enterobacteriaceae.
UAUCAGAAGUGCGAAUGCUGACAUAAGUAACGAUAAAGCGGGUGAAAAGCCCGCUCGCCGGAAGACCAAGGGUUCCUGUCCAACGUUAAUCGGGGCAGGGUGAGUCGACCCCUAAGGCGAGGCCGAAAGGCGUAGUCGAUGGGAAACGGGUUAAUAUUCCCGUACUUGGUGUUACUGCGAAGGGGGGACGGAGAAGGCUAUGUUGGCCGGGCGACGGUUGUCCCGGUUUAAGCGUGUAGGUGUGUGUUCCAGGUAAAUCCGGUUCACUUUAACACUGAGGCGUGACGACGAGGCACUACGGUGCUGAAGCAACAAAUGCCCUGCUUCCAGGAAAAGCCUCUAAGCAUCAGGUAACAUCAAAUCGUACCCCAAACCGACACAGGUGGUCAGGUAGAGAAUACCAAGGCGCUUGAGAGAACUCGGGUGAAGGAACUAGGCAAAAUGGUGCCGUAACUUCGGGAGAAGGCACGCUGACACGUAGGUGAAGUGAUUUACUCAUGGAGCUGAAGUCAGUCGAAGAUACCAGCUGGCUGCAACUGUUUAUUAAAAACACAGCACUGUGCAAACACGAAAGUGGACGUAUACGGUGUGACGCCUGCCCGGUGCCGGAAGGUUAAUUGAUGGGGUCAGCGCAAGCGAAGCUCCUGAUCGAAGCCCCGGUAAACGGCGGCCGUAACUAUAACGGUCCUAAGGUAGCGAAAUUCCUUGUCGGGUAAGUUCCGACCUGCACGAAUGGCGUAAUGAUGGCCAGGCUGUCUCCACCCGAGACUCAGUGAAAUUGAACUCGCUGUGAAGAUGCAGUGUACCCGCGGCAAGACGGAAAGACCCCGUGAACCUUUACUAUAGCUUGACACUGAACAUUGAGCCUUGAUGUGUAG